This 497-nucleotide ribosomal RNA is filed under the name uncultured bacterium. RNAcentral describes it as "partial 16S ribosomal RNA". It matches the Rfam family "Bacterial small subunit ribosomal RNA", at positions 28 to 507 of the family's 1533-position model. The record is from RNAcentral.
GAUGAGCGCUGGCGGCGUGCCUAAUACAUGCAAGUCGAGCGAACAGACGAGGAGCUUGCUCCUCUGACGUUAGCGGCGGACGGGUGAGUAACACGUGGAUAACCUACCUAUAAGACUCGGAUAACUUCGGGAAACCGGAGCUAAUACCGGAUAAUAUAUUGAACCGCAUGGUUCAAUAGUGAAAGACGGUUUUGCUGUCACUUAUAGAUGGAUCUGCGCCGCAUUAGCUAGUUGGUAAGGUAACGGCUUACCAAGGCAACGAUGCGUAGCCGACCUGAGAGGGUGAUCGGCCACACUGGAACUGAGGCACGGUCCAGACUCCUACGGGAGGCAGCAGUAGGGAAUCUUCCGCAAUGGGCGAAAGCCUGACGGAGCAACGCCGCGUGAGUGAUGAAGGUCUUCGGAUCGUAAAACUCUGUUAUUAGGGAAGAACAAAUGUGUAAGUAACUAUGCACGUCUUGACGGUACCUAAUCAGAAAGCCACGGCUAACUACGUG